UGUCAGGGCCCAUGGAGUGUGGACUUACGAACCCCGCCAGGGCAGGAAUGCAGCAACGGUAGUUUGCUCUGUAUUGUUAUGGUUACCCUGGCAUUU
RNAcentral lists this signal recognition particle RNA (96 nucleotides) under bacterium. RNAcentral describes it as "signal recognition particle sRNA small type". It matches the Rfam family "Bacterial small signal recognition particle RNA". Rfam says of the family: The signal recognition particle (SRP) is a universally conserved ribonucleoprotein involved in the co-translational targeting of proteins to membranes. Archaeal SRP consists of a 7S RNA and homologues of the eukaryotic SRP19 and SRP54 proteins. In most bacteria, the SRP consists of a 4.5S RNA and the Ffh protein (a homologue of the eukaryotic SRP54 protein). The record is from RNAcentral. RNAcentral also lists the same sequence under 1 other name.